This 1263-nucleotide long non-coding RNA is filed under the name Callithrix jacchus (white-tufted-ear marmoset). Its description in RNAcentral is "lncRNA (ENSCJAG00000078782.1)". Lineage: Eukaryota; Metazoa; Chordata; Mammalia; Primates; Cebidae. The record is from RNAcentral.
CAAUUUAAGAAAAUCUGUUAGUAAUUUAUCACAAGGAAAUAUUGGUAAAACUUGUUAUUAAUUUGAUUGUAGCAUUUUAUUGAUACAUUGCAUAAUAUCCUGAAAUCUUGGAACCUGGAGUUGACAACUAUUUUUCUUAGAGCUAUGUGGAGACACUGUUGAAGUAGUGUAACAUAGCAUAAAGCAAAUGUGGAUGCUGUUAAGAGCCAAUGAAAGUCAUACAGAAGAACUCCUUUUAUGAAAAAUGAUUUUACAUAAAUACUCUUAAAGCAAUAGCAAUGAUGCAAAACUUCAUUGAUGUAUUAGAAUGACAAACAGCCAUUAUGCUUCCUGGUGUUUUUGCCAUCUCCGUUUGAAUUUUAUUUUCUGCUUCUGUUUUGUAAGGUGUGUUUUCUGUCAUUCUAAUUACUUUUAACAAAAUCACACCUGUGCGCACUUUUUUAUUAAAUAAGCAUUUAGUUCUGGUCUCUGCCUCCAAGAGAUGAAACUGAGUUGGACUAUUUGUUUCAAUUUUAAUGUUCAAGUUUUUACCUUGUAAGACGGUGAUGAGUUCUGGGUUUGUUUAGUAGACAGAAUAAUGCUCUCAAAAGAUGCCCACAUUCUAAUCCCCAAAACCUGUGAAUAUGUCACCUAACAUGGCAAAAGGGACUUUUGUAACUAUACGUUUUUUGUGUUUACAUGUAAUUAGCUGAAAUAUUGUUUAGACUUCCACUGUGUGUCUUUACCAAUUAUCAGUUUAACAGUUUCUCUAUUAUGAAGAUAUAGAUUGACAUCAACAUUUGCUAUUAAUCAUUUAUUAUUUCUUCCUUUUAGAAAGUUGAAUUUCUGGAGCAAGAGAUACAAAUUAAGACUAUUGUUACAUGUUGCCUACAUACAUGACCCUCAAAAGCAUGAUUCCCAGUGGCAUCUCAACAGCAUACAUAAACAAUGACAGAGCUUAUACAAAUUAAGAAAAUAACAGGAGAGGACUCAAGAUGGCGCUGUGAGAACAACCCAGGAUUGGAGCUCUUCUCGUUGAAUCCGCAAACGGUUCAAGACAUCAUCCAGCCACUUGUCUGGGGAGUGAACCCUAAUCCAGUUCCUGACCAGACCGGGCCCUGACACACUUUCCGUCCUGGUGACCUGGUGUAUGUCAAAAAAUUCCAAAAAGAAGGACGUACUCCUGCCUGGAAAGGACCUCACACCAUCAUCCUCAGCAUACCAACGGCCCUAAAGGUUGACAGCAUUCCUGCACGGAUCCACCACUCCAGCAUCAAAAAGCCC